GUUCAAAGCCCUGGUUCUGCCGAUGUACGACCAUCUGAUGAAGAGUGCAAAAUGUUUUUAGAGAUGCUUCAUAGCAGUGAAAUGCAGGAGUCCAAGCCAAAGAAAAGUGCCAUCCUUUCUGUGAUCGAAGGCCAUUCCCACAGGUACACACCAAAAGUGAUGCAGUUGGACUUGCCCACUCCUCUGUCAACCUUAUAUUCAAGCCCCUGUCUACAGAUGGAUUUGCCCAUGCUACUGGUUGAAAGUGCCAAGGUUUUUGAUAACUUAGAUCUGACACAGCAACAGAUGGGGUCAGGUGAAUGAGGAAAGAGCAAGGCAAAACUACAAGGCUAUGAUGCAAGAUCAUCAUGAACGCUUCAAGGUUCAAGCAUCAGGGUUCAUCAUCCACCCAGACCAGCCCUGGAUCGGAGCAUCACCUGAUGGCAUGGUAACGUGCGCUUGCCAUGGUGACGGCGUACUGGAGAUAAAAUGCCCAUUCAACAGCAAGGACUGCUCACUCACUGAAAGCUGCAAAGAUCCAACAUUCUGUCUUCACAUAGAAGAAGAUGGGACAAUGGCACUUAAGACUGACCACAAGUUCAUGUAUCAAGUGCAAGCUCAAAUGCAUGUUGCCAAGGUGAGUUACUGUGAUUUUGUGGUAUGGACACUGCAGGAGAUUUUCAUCCAACGGAUCAAGUAUGAUCCUGUUUUCUUCCACAACGCCUACCUCAAAGUGGUGGAAUUCAUCAAGACCGGUGUACUACCAGAGCUGCUGGGGAAAUGGUACACAGCACCACGCCAUCCUCCCACAGACACUGCAACCACAGUG
Molecule: long non-coding RNA, 808 nt
Organism: Cololabis saira (Pacific saury)
Lineage: Eukaryota; Metazoa; Chordata; Actinopteri; Beloniformes; Belonidae
Exons: 4
Source: RefSeq, a predicted model, not a curated record